This is a non-coding RNA of Armillaria luteobubalina, 94 nucleotides long. The record is from the annotation of a GenBank genome assembly. NCBI's taxonomy places the organism in Eukaryota, Fungi, Basidiomycota, Agaricomycetes, Agaricales, Physalacriaceae.
GGGGGCAUAGCUCAGUUGGGAGAGCAACAGACUGAAGUUUGGUGCCAACGAAUGUUUGUUCUGGAGGUCCCCAGUUCAAUCCUGGGUGCCCCCA